This 664-nucleotide long non-coding RNA is filed under the name Theobroma cacao (cacao). RNAcentral describes it as "long non-coding RNA (TCAC_LNC003045)". Lineage: Eukaryota; Viridiplantae; Streptophyta; Magnoliopsida; Malvales; Malvaceae. The record is from RNAcentral.
UUGUCCUUGUUGAUUCUUUUGAUCAACUCUAACUUCAACUAAUGCUCCAAAUGGACAUGUGGGGCCUCGUUGGAACCUAUCACACACAAUAUAACUAUAAAAAAUAUAACAGCCCACAAAUCUAAAUAUUAGCCAUCUUUAACAACUUAAAAUCAACCUUAACUCAUUUCUCACCUUGGUGGACUUGUAGUUGAAUUUUCUUAGUGAGGAUUAAAAGGGGAAAACUCCUUCAAGAGCUUUCAAGCUAAUUUGAAGAGUUUCCCUCUCUAUAAAUGUUCAGUUAGUGAGAGAAAGUGCAAAGGAAAAACUUUAUUUGAGGGUUUUUGAGGUGAAAAAGUCAAAGAGAACAAAAACCCUUAUGAAAAAGUGUACAAAAACAUGAAUUUUGGAGCUAGUAUGAGAAGGUUAUGGAAAUUUUAAGGUUUCUUUCCAUGGAGUGUCACGACCCGGUACUCCCCUCGAGCUUGUGACAACCGCCGUGAAGCCUCGAUAGACAUUUUUCACCCCGAAUGCUAAUCGAAACCUCGCAAGGCUCUCGUAUCAGCUUCUGCAUCUCCCUAGUGAGCGAAAGUUAUUAAAUCUCGCAUUUCAAAAAAAUCAUAAGUCGUUUCCAAAUAUAAUAUUAUUUUCUGGCUCAUAGGGGCAUUUUUGUCAUUUUUUCUUC